Molecule: ribosomal RNA, 253 nt
Filed under: uncultured bacterium
Lineage: Bacteria
Description: partial 16S ribosomal RNA
Rfam family: Bacterial small subunit ribosomal RNA
Source: RNAcentral
UACGGAGGGUGCGAGCGUUGUCCGGAAUCACUGGGCGUAAAGGGCGCGUAGGCGGCCUGAUAAGUAGGGGGUGAAAUCCUGCGGCUUAACCGCAGGGCUGCCUUCUAAACUGUCAGGCUUGAGCACAGUAGAGGCAGGUGGAAUUCCCGGUGUAGCGGUGGAAUGCGUAGAGAUCGGGAAGAACAUCAGUGGCGAAGGCGGCCUGCUGGGCUGUUGCUGACGCUGAGGAGCGGAAGCGUGGGGAGCAAACAGG